This 424-nucleotide ribosomal RNA is filed under the name uncultured bacterium. Its description in RNAcentral is "partial 16S ribosomal RNA". It matches the Rfam family "Bacterial small subunit ribosomal RNA", at positions 359 to 775 of the family's 1533-position model. The record is from RNAcentral.
GAAUUUUGGACAAUGGGCGAAAGCCUGAUCCAGCAAUGCCGCGUGAAGGAUGAAGGCCUUCGGGUUGUAAACUGCUUUUGUACGGAACGAAAAGCUUUGGGUGAAUACCCUGGAGGCAUGACGGUACCGUAAGAAUAAGCACCGGCUAACUACGGGACAGCAGCCGCUGUAAGACGUAGGGUGCAAGCGUUAAACGGAAUUACUGGGCGGAAAGCGUGCGCAGGCGGUUUUGUAAGACAGAGGUGAAAUCCCCUGGCUCAACCUGGGAACUGCCUUUGUGACUGCAAGGCUAGAGUAAGGCAGAGGGGGGUGGGAUUCCGCGUGUAGCAGUGAAAUGCGUAGAUAUGCGGAGGAACACCGAUGGCGAAGGCAACCCCCUGGGCCUGUACUGACGCUCAUGCACGAAAGCGUGGGGAGCAAACAG